RNAcentral lists this ribosomal RNA (556 nucleotides) under uncultured bacterium. RNAcentral describes it as "bacterial SSU rRNA". It matches the Rfam family "Bacterial small subunit ribosomal RNA", at positions 338 to 909 of the family's 1533-position model. The record is from RNAcentral.
CCUACGGGAGGCAGCAGUGGGGAAUUUUCCGCAAUGGGCGAAAGCCUGACGGAGCAAUACCGCGUGAGGGAGGAAGGCCCUUGGGUUGUAAACCUCUUUUCUCAGGGAAGAAUAAUGACGGUACCUGAGGAAUCAGCAUCGGCUAACUCCGUGCCAGCAGCCGCGGUAAUACGGAGGAUGCAAGCGUUAUCCGGAAUGAUUGGGCGUAAAGCGUCCGCAGGUGGCAAUUCAAGUCUGCUGUCAAAGGUCGGGGCUCAACUUCGAACAGGCAGUGGAAACUGAACAGCUAGAGUGCGGUAGGGGUAGAGGGAAUUCCCGGUGUAGCGGUGAAAUGCGUAGAGAUCGGGAAGAACACCAGUGGCGAAAGCGCUCUACUAGACCUGCACUGACACUGAGGGACGAAAGCUAGGGGAGCGAAUGGGAUUAGAUACCCCAGUAGUCCUAGCCGUAAACGAUGGAUACUAGGUGUUGCUUGUAUCGACCCAAGCAGUGCCGUAGCUAACGCGUUAAGUAUCCCGCCUGGGGAGUACGCGCGCAAGCGUGAAACUCAAAUGAA